RNAcentral lists this ribosomal RNA (497 nucleotides) under uncultured bacterium. RNAcentral describes it as "partial 16S ribosomal RNA". It matches the Rfam family "Bacterial small subunit ribosomal RNA", at positions 28 to 507 of the family's 1533-position model. The record is from RNAcentral.
GACGAACGCUGGCGGCGUGCCUAAUACAUGCAAGUUGAGCGCUGAAGGUUGGUACUUGUACCAACUGGAUGAGCAGCGAACGGGUGAGUAACACGUGGGGAAUCUGCCUUUGAGCGGGGGACAACAUUUGGAAACGAAUGCUAAUACCGCAUAAAAACUUUAAACACAAGUUUUAAGUUUGAAAGAUGCAAUUACAUCACUCAAAGAUGAUCCCGCGUUGUAUUAGCUAGUUGGUGAGGUAAAGGCUCACCAAGGCGAUGAUACAUAGCCGACCUGAGAGGGUGAUCGGCCACAUUGGGACUGAGACACGGCCCAAACUCCUACGGGAGGCAGCAGUAGGGAAUCUUCGGCAAUGGACGAAAGUCUGACCGAGCAACGCCGCGUGAGUGAAGAAGGUUUUCGGAUCGUAAAACUCUGUUGGUAGAGAAGAACGUUGGUGAGAGUGGAAAGCUCAUCAAGUGACGGUAACUACCCAGAAGGGGACGGCUAACUACGUG